AAAGACUCAAGCAAUUUGGGUGGAGAAGAAAUCACGAAGAAGAUGAAGACAUAAGACAUGGCUUGGACACGGCAGUUUCUUCUUCCUCACGGCUUCAAUUUUGGACGGUUUCCACAAAGGCAAAGACACCAAUAUAUAUAGUAAGUCAAGUGGCCAACAUAAGGUAAGUCGGGAUAUGGUAAGUAGGUUCGACUAGGGUUAACUUCCAAUGGAAGAAAUCAACAAGCCACAAAGAAUAUUAGCCGUCCAAUAGGUAAGGCAACGUUCGGUCGGUUCAUCCAUUAUUCGAUGUUGAAUUAUCGUUCAGUCAUUUAUGUCGACUGACAAAAUUGGUUCUCAUCAUCGCCCGGGGGUCGUUUGACAACAUAAUGUCUAACAA
Molecule: long non-coding RNA, 379 nt
Filed under: Olea europaea (common olive)
Lineage: Eukaryota; Viridiplantae; Streptophyta; Magnoliopsida; Lamiales; Oleaceae
Description: long non-coding RNA (OEUR_LNC009124)
Source: RNAcentral